This is a long non-coding RNA of Dioscorea cayenensis subsp. rotundata (Guinea yam), 863 nucleotides long. RefSeq lists it as uncharacterized. The record is from RefSeq and is a predicted model, not a curated record. NCBI's taxonomy places the organism in Eukaryota, Viridiplantae, Streptophyta, Magnoliopsida, Dioscoreales, Dioscoreaceae. The transcript has 4 exons.
UUUUAAAACCUCCACCAACCCCCCUCCCCAAGUAUGGGUUUGCGUGAGGGCAUGUUUCUCUUUCAGACAUGAAUGUAUUGGGAUUAAUCGUUCUAAGAGAGAAUACUGAAUACAUGGAUGAGCAUUCAGACAAAAGGAAUAUAUAAAUAGCAGAAGCCUUGGGAAAAGCAUCAUCUUCAGAUUCAGAUUCGAGAUCCAUUCCUCUUCUCUUUCUACUCUUCUUCUACUUGUUUUUCCAUUUAUUAGCGUUGAGAUCUCCAGAUCCUUCCUUCGGGUUGCUCGGUCUUUGUGUUGGUUUCUAUUGCAGGGAAAUUGCAUCAACCGGCCCUUGUGUUGGAUUGCAGGGGUUUGCAUCAAUCUUAAUCUCAUCCAACACCCGGUUGAAUUAACGAGAGAUCCGAAAUGUUGAAGGAAGAGGAGAGGUGCAAAAACUAGGGUUCUUACUUCCAACCCUAGCGAUUCUCCUCCAAAAUGAGAGAUCUUGCUCUCCGGUUGGCCACUCGCCAAAUUACUUUUUUCUCAGAAGUUGUAGGUGUGCCUGGAGUGACAGCCACUACGCCUUUCCAGAUCAAGUCAUUAAAACGGCUGGAUGAGGACCUGAAUCAAUUUGCUGAAGCUUUGAAGCAAGGUUUGAAUAAGUCAUCAGGCUAAUUGAUAUAAAGUUUGAACCUGUGCUUGAUUGACAUCUUAUUGUAGCUUUUGAUCACUCUAUGUUUGUUAGAAAAUUCUCUUUAUUUUUGGUUUCAUGCUACAUUAAUCUUUGCUUUUAAAUUGUAAUUUGCAUGUACAUGUUUUGCCAUUGUUGUCCUAAGUCUUGACUUUUGUGUCUACUGCAUUACUUUGCUUGGUAUUUGCUUCUUUUA